AUUGAACGCUGGCGGCAUGCCUUACACAUGCAAGUCGAACGGUAACAGGUUAAGCUGACGAGUGGCGAACGGGUGAGUAAUACAUCGGAACGUGCCCAGUAGUGGGGGAUAGCCCGGCGAAAGCCGGAUUAAUACCGCAUACGACCUACGGGUGAAAGGGGGGGAUCGCAAGACCUCUCGCUAUUGGAGCGGCCGAUGUCAGAUUAGGUAGUUGGUGGGGUAAAAGCCUACCAAGCCGACGAUCUGUAGCUGGUCUGAGAGGACGACCAGCCACACUGGGACUGAGACACGGCCCAGACUCCUACGGGAGGCAGCAGUGGGGAAUUUUGGACAAUGGGCGCAAGCCUGAUCCAGCCAUGCCGCGUGCGGGAAGAAGGCCUUCGGGUUGUAAACCGCUUUUGUCAGGGAAGAAACGCUCUGGGUUAAUACCCUGGGGUAAUGACGGUACCUGAAGAAUAAGCACCGGCUAACUACGUGCCAGCAGCCGCGGUAA
RNAcentral lists this ribosomal RNA (493 nucleotides) under uncultured bacterium. RNAcentral describes it as "partial 16S ribosomal RNA". It matches the Rfam family "Bacterial small subunit ribosomal RNA", at positions 30 to 523 of the family's 1533-position model. The record is from RNAcentral.